AGGACGAACGCUGGCGGCGCGCUUAACACAUGCAAGUCGAGCGAGAACCGGGGCUUCGGCCCUGGGGACAGCGGCGAACGGGUGAGUAACACGUGGGUAAUCAACCCUCGGCACCGGGAUAGCCCGAGGAAACUCGGAUUAAUACCGGAUAGCCCCUCCGACUCUCGAGUCGGUCGGGAAAGGUAGCUUAGGCCUCUGGCCGGGGACGAGCCCGCGGCGGAUUAGCUUGUUGGUGGGGUAAUGGCCUACCAAGGCGACGAUCCGUAGCUGGUCUGAGAGGACGAUCAGCCACACUGGGACUGAGACACGGCCCAGACUCCUACGGGAGGCAGCAGUGGGGAAUCUUGCGCAAUGGGCGAAAGCCUGACGCAGCGACGCCGCGUGAGGGAAGAAGGCCUUCGGGUUGUAAACCUCUUUCAGGAGGACGAAGCUACUCGGGUGAAUAGCCCAGAGGGUGACGGUACCUCCAGAAGAAGCCCGGCUAACUACGUGCCAGCAGCCGC
This 503-nucleotide ribosomal RNA is filed under the name uncultured bacterium. Its description in RNAcentral is "SSU rRNA". It matches the Rfam family "Bacterial small subunit ribosomal RNA", at positions 26 to 518 of the family's 1533-position model. The record is from RNAcentral.